AUACCGUGAUGAGGACAUUGUAUCCUCAUCUCUUUGAAUCUCUCCCAUGACUCUGCCAAAGACUCACCAGUUAACUGUCUGAAAUUCUGAAUAGAUCUCCUCAUUUUCUGAGUCU
Ipomoea nil (Japanese morning glory) is the source of this 115-nucleotide small nucleolar RNA. It matches the Rfam family "Plant small nucleolar RNA R71". From Rfam's summary of the family: R71 is a member of the C/D box family of snoRNAs containing the C (UGAUGA) and D (CUGA) box motifs. The record is from Rfam. NCBI's taxonomy places the organism in Eukaryota, Viridiplantae, Streptophyta, Magnoliopsida, Solanales, Convolvulaceae.